CCUACGGGUGGCUGCAGUGGGGAAUAUUGCACAAUGGGCGCAAGCCUGUUGCAGCCAUGCCGCGUGUGUGAAGAAGGCCUUCGGGUUGUAAAGCACUUUCAGCGGGGAGGAAGGCGGUGAGGUUAAUAACCUCAUCGAUUGACGUUACCCGCAGAAGAAGCACCGGCUAACUCCGUGCCAGCAGCCGCGGUAAUACGGAGGGUGCAAGCGUUAAUCGGAAUUACUGGGCGUAAAGCGCACGCAGGCGGUCUGUCAAGUCGGAUGUGAAAUCCCCGGGCUCAACCUGGGAACUGCAUUCGAAACUGGCAGGCUAGAGUCUUGUAGAGGGGGGUAGAAUUCCAGGUGUAGCGGUGAAAUGCGUAGAGAUCUGGAGGAAUACCGGUGGCGAAGGCGGCCCCCUGGACAAAGACUGACGCUCAGGUGCGAAAGCGUGGGGAGCAAACAGGAUUAGAUACCCCGGUAGUC
RNAcentral lists this ribosomal RNA (465 nucleotides) under uncultured Klebsiella sp. RNAcentral describes it as "bacterial SSU rRNA". It matches the Rfam family "Bacterial small subunit ribosomal RNA", at positions 338 to 795 of the family's 1533-position model. Lineage: Bacteria; Pseudomonadati; Pseudomonadota; Gammaproteobacteria; Enterobacterales; Enterobacteriaceae. The record is from RNAcentral.